GUUUAUGUAGCUCAAUUAAA
This 20-nucleotide transfer RNA is filed under the name Hynobius lichenatus. Its description in RNAcentral is "partial tRNA-Phe". The record is from RNAcentral. Lineage: Eukaryota; Metazoa; Chordata; Amphibia; Caudata; Hynobiidae.